CUGCUAGCUCCGGCUGCACAUGUACCAAAAUUGGAGCGAUGCAAAGAUUAGCGUGGCCCCUCCACAAGGGUGACACGCAGAGGCGUCCCAGAUUUGG
RNAcentral lists this small nuclear RNA (97 nucleotides) under Echinops telfairi (small Madagascar hedgehog). Lineage: Eukaryota; Metazoa; Chordata; Mammalia; Afrosoricida; Tenrecidae. The record is from RNAcentral.